AUCCAGCUGACGAGUCCCAAACAGGACGAAACGCGCGUCAAAGUGGAU
Molecule: non-coding RNA, 48 nt
Filed under: Schistosoma haematobium
Lineage: Eukaryota; Metazoa; Platyhelminthes; Trematoda; Strigeidida; Schistosomatidae
Source: RNAcentral